Musa acuminata subsp. malaccensis (wild Malaysian banana) is the source of this 1912-nucleotide non-coding RNA. NCBI's taxonomy places the organism in Eukaryota, Viridiplantae, Streptophyta, Magnoliopsida, Zingiberales, Musaceae. The record is from RefSeq and is a predicted model, not a curated record.
AUUACUCGAUGCAAGAAGGGGAGCGUCCAUUUACGAUUGAGCAGGCGCAAUGGUGGGAGCGGAUCCGAACUCCCUCUUCGGGCACUGCCCCGGACGAGUUGGGUGGAGAAGCCAGAGCACGCGGCGCCGGGGGCAGGGCAGCGCUCGCGGCAGUUCGGCGCCGGGUGCUUCGGGGGCAUCGAGCUCGCUUUCCGUCGGGCGGCCGACGUGACCCGAGUUACGAGGGCUUGUGAGCCGCGGGCGAAGAACCACUGCGAGGUGGUCCGGGUGCAGUAUGAUCCCCGCAACUGCAAGUACCAAGGAGCUCUUUAAUGUUUUCCGUGCGCGCUAUAAUCCUAUUAUCCUCAAUCGCCAGGUUAUUCGUGCGUGAUCAUUGAGUCAAUUUUCUUAGGGUCCAAUAACCAUUGUACAAAAGGAAAACAAAGUUGUUACGAUCUUGAAUACACUUCUACACGUGAGAACAGGGAAAAGCCCCUAUGAAAUAUUUAGAAAGUAACCAGAAGGUCAUGAACAGGAAUAUCAUGAAAGUACUUCUCAGGUGCUCCUGAGAUUUCCUCAAAGUUUAUGCUGUCAUGAAGACAUCAUUACGAUAUUCUCAGGAAGAAUAAAUUGUGGAGGUCUUCCUACCCCACAACCUCAUGCAUGCCAACCAAGAAAGUUGGUAGCCAAUGAUUACCCACCUACCAGUGAAUUCCAUGAUUGCCCUAAGGUGAAGCUUUGCUUUCGAUCUCUGCUGUUGGGUUAGCUUUUUGGCUGGGGAGCGUUACUGUGGUCCAUAAAAGAGGUCAGUCGAUUCAAAUCUUUUCUUGUGGAAGGUUUCUUUCUGCUUUCCUCAGAAUUUUUGCUUUCUCUGCUCUGAUAGAAAGAAAUCUUGAGUUCAACAUUUACCUAUGUUCUGCUGUAGAUGCCCUACUGUGGUAUAUGAAACUUCAAAGUUGCUCUUCCUCUCAGUAAACUAUGACCACUGCGAUUAAUACUUAUCAGAUGCAUUGGGCUUGCAUGAGAUCAAUUUUGCCGUACCAUUUGUUGACUCUUUGCAUGUUUUAUCUCAUCUCAAUAGUUCGAUCACUGUUGCAUGGGACUGGGCAUAGAAGAAUAUUUCGGGAAUAUAUGCAUGUUGGUUCCAAGUUAGAUCUAGAUUGGUGAGGGGUGACAUUUUCCAUCUCUUUGGUGCAAAACACCAUAGUAACAUGAGACACUCAGUCAGCCGAUGAUAAUAAUAAAAGGUACAAUGAUCAGUUGCAUGUCAGUGGCUACAUGACCAUUGUCCAGAAUCCGAGGAGAGGAUUCGAAUAUUGGAAGAAAAAUAUAUUAAAUAGAUUCUUACAUUUCUCUCCCUUGAACAUUUGAUAAUAGUGCGUUUACACUAGCAGAUUUUAGUAUAUAUAAAUAUAUGCUUUAAAUGUUAAUAUGUUCCAAGUCAUGAAAUGUUGAUCAUAGGAGUGAGCUCCCGCAGCCAGAGUGCAUGACGGGGACGGAUGUCGACGUCCUUCGCAACCAACCAGUGGCCACAGGCGCUCCGGCAGCCACGAACUGCCCCUCUCACAACCGCUCUCCCAGUAGCUACGCCGCGUUGGGGGACGCUGCCUCUGGUGAGGGCAACUGCUGGCCAAGCAGCGAAGGCCCGCGCGGGGCCUGCUGCCAGCCGGGCGAGGAUGGUUCUGUGUUGCUGCCAACGGUUGCUCUCCGUGGCGUCGUUAAUGGGGAUGGAACAGAGGGGAAGAAGAAUAAGAAUAAGCAGGUGGAAGGAAGACGAGUGAGGACGAGAAAAAAAAAUGUGAGAAGGUGAGAAAGGAAAAUGGAUCCAUUAAUCGGUAUCGGUCAUUUGGAUAAUUAUAUAAAAUAUAGGCUAUUUAUCGAAAAAAUAAGUACGUUUCGUGUUUUUUAGGUUAUUUAAAUAUCAACAGAUACC